Molecule: ribosomal RNA, 492 nt
Filed under: uncultured bacterium
Lineage: Bacteria
Description: partial 16S ribosomal RNA
Rfam family: Bacterial small subunit ribosomal RNA
Source: RNAcentral
AGUGAACGCUGGCGGUAGGCCUAACACAUGCAAGUCGAACGGCAGCACAGUAGGAGCUUGCUCUUACGGGUGGCGAGUGGCGGACGGGUGAGGAAUACAUCGGAAUCUACUUUUUCGUGGGGGAUAACGUAGGGAAACUUACGCUAAUACCGCAUACGACCUACGGGUGAAAGCAGGGGAUCUUCGGACCUUGCGCGAUUGAAUGAGCCGAUGUCGGAUUAGCUAGUUGGCGGGGUAAAGGCCCACCAAGGCGACGAUCCGUAGCUGGUCUGAGAGGAUGAUCAGCCACACUGGAACUGAGACACGGUCCAGACUCCUACGGGAGGCAGCAGUGGGGAAUAUUGGGCAAUGGGCGCAAGCCUGAUCCAGCCAUACCGCGUGGGUGAAGAAGGCCUUCGGGUUGUAAAGCCCUGUUGUUGGGAAAGAAAAGCAGCAGGUUAAUACCCCGCUGUUCUGACGGUACCCAAAGAAUAAGCACCGGCUAACUUCGUG